AUAUCUUAUUAUUAUUUAUAUUCACAUCUGUAUUUGUUAAAUAAAAUCAAUAUAGACAUAGGUAUAUUAGUACAAGCAAUCAAAAAGGGAUUGCAGAAGAGGUUUUUAGAGCUAGUUAUAGUGGGCCAAGGUCAAGAGCUGCAGGUAGGGGUGCGCAAAAAUCAAAUCUGAACUAAUCAAACUGGUGAAAUCGAGUCAAAUCGUAGAUUUGGUUUGGUUUAAAAUUUUAUUCGGUUUAGUUUGGUUGAUUUUUGAUAUAUAAAAAAUAAGUUUAGAUUGAUUCAGAUUUGUCAGUAACUAAAAUUAUUCUCAAAUCGAACC
RNAcentral lists this long non-coding RNA (321 nucleotides) under Elaeis guineensis (African oil palm). RNAcentral describes it as "long non-coding RNA (EGUI_LNC011939)". Lineage: Eukaryota; Viridiplantae; Streptophyta; Magnoliopsida; Arecales; Arecaceae. The record is from RNAcentral.